CCUACGGGAGGCAGCAGUGGGGAAUAUUGCACAAUGGGGGAAACCCUGAUGCAGCGACGCCGCGUGAGUGAAGAAGUAAUUCGUUAUGUAAAGCGCUAUCAGCAGGGAAGAAAAUGACGGUACCUGAGUAAGAAGCCCCGGCUAACUACGUGCCAGCAGCCGCGGUAAGACGUAGGGGGCAAACGUUAUCCGGAUUUACUGGGUGUAAAGGGAGCGUAGACGGCAGUGCAAGUCUGGAGUGAAAGGCGGGGGCUCAACCCCCGGACUGCUCUGGAAACUGUACGGCUGGAGUGAAGGAGAGGUAAGUGGAAUUCCAAGUGUAGCGGUGAAAUGCGUAGAUAUUAGGAGGAACACCAGUGGCGAAGGCGGCUUACUGGACUGUAACUGACGUUGAGGCUCGAAAGCGUGGGGAGCAAACAGGAUUAGAUACCCGGGUAGUC
RNAcentral lists this ribosomal RNA (440 nucleotides) under uncultured bacterium. RNAcentral's name for it is "partial 16S ribosomal RNA". It matches the Rfam family "Bacterial small subunit ribosomal RNA", at positions 338 to 795 of the family's 1533-position model. The record is from RNAcentral.